RNAcentral lists this ribosomal RNA (275 nucleotides) under uncultured bacterium. RNAcentral's name for it is "partial 16S ribosomal RNA". It matches the Rfam family "Bacterial small subunit ribosomal RNA", at positions 79 to 353 of the family's 1533-position model. The record is from RNAcentral.
CUUUCUUUGCUGGCGACCGGCGCACGGGUGAGUAACACGUAUCCAACCUGCCCUUUACUCGGGGAUAGCCUUUCGAAAGAAAGAUUAAUACCCGAUAGUAUAAUGAUUCCGCAUGGUUUCAUUAUUAAAGGAUUCCUGUAAAGGAUGGGGAUGCGUUCCAUUAGGUUGUUGGUGAGGUAACGGCUCACCAAGCCUUCGAUGGAUAGGGGUUCUGAGAGGAAGGUCCCCCACAUUGGAACUGAGACACGGUCCAAACUCCUACGGGAGGCAGCAUG